AAUUGGUAGGAGGCAGCGUGCCUGUAAAUACUGUGCUAAUCACUGCAGGUUCAUCAGGACUCUGAUGCCUAAUUGGCUGCGGGAUCGGUGUAACCCUCCCGAAGCCUGAUCCGGAGCACGAGGAAUUGUUGAAUCUCCAUAAUAAAGCGGCCGUGCUGGAAGGACACAGGAUGAAAAAGCUGAUUUCUGGAGCAUAAGGAGCAUUUGAAAGGAGACCUGAAGAACAGCCACGGUACAUCUCUGGAGUGUUUUGUAAGAAGGUCCUAAAAUUGUGGAUUUCUCGUAAUCACCCACAGCUUUGCUCCCCCUGGAUUAUCCAGGUGAAUUUGGCCUUUGCAGCUGUCCUGGAAGUUCAGCCUUACACAGAACGUGGCCAUUGAGUCAGGUGGUGAUUUUGGUCCCUUUGAUCCAUAAAUU
Molecule: long non-coding RNA, 417 nt
Filed under: Manacus vitellinus (golden-collared manakin)
Lineage: Eukaryota; Metazoa; Chordata; Aves; Passeriformes; Pipridae
Description: lncRNA (ENSMVIG00005012184.1)
Source: RNAcentral